RNAcentral lists this ribosomal RNA (460 nucleotides) under uncultured bacterium. RNAcentral describes it as "partial 16S ribosomal RNA". It matches the Rfam family "Bacterial small subunit ribosomal RNA", at positions 338 to 795 of the family's 1533-position model. The record is from RNAcentral.
CCUACGGGUGGCAGCAGUGAGGAAUAUUGGUCAAUGGCCGAGAGGCUGAACCAGCCAAGUCGCGUGAGGGAUGAAGGUUCUAUGGAUCGUAAACCUCUUUUAUAAGGGAAUAAAGUGCGGGACGUGUCCCGUUUUGUAUGUACCUUAUGAAUAAGGAUCGGCUAACUCCGUGCCAGCAGCCGCGGUAAUACGGAGGAUCCGAGCGUUAUCCGGAUUUAUUGGGUUUAAAGGGUGCGUAGGCGGCCUUUUAAGUCAGCGGUGAAAGUCUGUGGCUCAACCAUAGAAUUGCCGUUGAAACUGGGAGACUUGAGUAUGUUUGAGGCAGGCGGAAUGCGUGGUGUAGCGGUGAAAUGCUUAGAUAUCACGCAGAACCCCGAUUGCGAAGGCAGCCUGCCAAGCCAUGACUGACGCUGAUGCACGAAAGCGUGGGUAUCAAACAGGAUUAGAUACCCUGGUAGUC